RNAcentral lists this ribosomal RNA (454 nucleotides) under uncultured bacterium. RNAcentral's name for it is "partial 16S ribosomal RNA". It matches the Rfam family "Bacterial small subunit ribosomal RNA", at positions 28 to 507 of the family's 1533-position model. The record is from RNAcentral.
GAUGAACGCUGACAGAAUGCUUAACACAUGCAAGUCAACUUGAACUUCGGUUUGGGUGGCGGACGGGUGAGUAACGUGUAAAGAACUUGCCUCACAGCUAGGGACAACAUUUGGAAACGAAUGCUAAUACCUGAUAUUAUGAUUAUAUGGCAUCGUAUAAUUAUGAAAGCUAUAUGCGCUGUGAGAGAGCUUUGCGUCCCAUUAGCUAGUUGGAGAGGUAACAGCUCACCAAGGCGAUGUUGGGUAGCCGGCCUGAGAGGGUGAUCGGCCACAAGGGGACUGAGACACGGCCCUUACUCCUACGGGAGGCAGCAGUGGGGAAUAUUGGACAAUGGACCGAGAGUCUGAUCCAGUAAUUCUGUGUGCACGAUGAAGUUUUUCGGAAUGUAAAGUGCUUUCAGUUGGGAAGAAAAAAAUGACGGUACCAACAGAAGAAGUGACGGCUAAAUACGUG